This 404-nucleotide ribosomal RNA is filed under the name Actinomycetes bacterium. RNAcentral's name for it is "Actinobacteria bacterium partial 16S ribosomal RNA". It matches the Rfam family "Bacterial small subunit ribosomal RNA", at positions 355 to 776 of the family's 1533-position model. The record is from RNAcentral. Lineage: Bacteria; Bacillati; Actinomycetota; Actinomycetes.
UGGGGAAUAUUGGACAAUGGGCGCAAGCCUGAUCCAGCCAUGCCGCGUGAGUGAUGAAGGCCCUAGGGUUGUAAAGCUCUUUCACCGGUGAAGAUAAUGACGGUAACCGGAGAAGAAGCCCUGGCUAACUUCGUGCCAGCAGCCGCGGUAAUACGAAGGGGGCUAGCGUUGUUCGGAUUUACUGGGCGUAAAGCGCACGUAGGCGGACUUUUAAGUCAGGGGUGAAAUCCCGGGGCUCGACCCCGGAACUGCCUUUGAUACUGGAAGUCUUGAGUAUGGUAGAGGUGAGUGGAAUUCCGGGUGUAGAGGUGAAAUUCGUAGAUAUUCGGAGGAACACCAGUGGCGAAGGCGGCUCACUAGAACAUUACUGACGCUGAGGUGCGAAAGCGUGGGGAGCAAACAGG